UUUGUUUGCAGUUUGAGAGUCGUUUAUUUUUGGUUUAAAAAAACAAUUGCAGAAAAAUUUUGUUUUGUUUUCCCCUCUGUUGUAUGGACUGUUUAGAAAAAUAGGUUGAUACUGAAAUGCAAUUAUGGGGGGCAGUGUGGAGGUGGCUGGAGAGUGGAGACCCAUGCUGUGGAGUUUCUGUACCAUGCAUCUCCUGCCGCCGUGUUAGUUGUGCUGUGGGGUUGCUGCUGCCCUGCUGAUGGUUGAUGGGUUCCAGUGCACCUCAGGUUGUUGUUGCUCUUUUGCUUUUGUCUCAGAAGGCAGCUGAUUCAGUGCAUGGUUUGGCUCAAACAGCAGCCCACAAGCAAAUCAGACCCCGUGCUUUAUAGGGUGCAGAGGCUGGGACCAUUCACUGGUCCAGUGGAUCAGGGCACGGUUGUAUCCUGGUCCCUCCCUGCUCAGUUUGAAUGAUGAUUUUGGAGAGAUCUUGAAAUUUAGGCCUGGCUCUAAAAACUUGGAUCAGGUAUGUUGUGUGUAUGAUGAAACAGACAUUUUUCUUGACAGUUCUCUGGUUCUUGUAGAAACUGGCUGCCCUCACCUGAAACAUUGCUCACUAUCCCUUUCAGAGAACGGCCUUCUUGCAGGGAGCCGUGCAAAGCCGGCAGCUCUAUACCAGGUAGGUGAUACUCUGCUAGCAGUGGCUGCCUCCAUGCCCCUGCUUGUUUGGGUAAGCCUCUGGCUUCCCAUCAUGUUUCCCUUUGCUUGGGGGCUGCUGGUCCCUCUGGAUUGCAACAGGAGCACUUGCAUGAGCAGCUAUCCUGCCGCCGGGAGGAGGCUGCUCUGCCCAACUGGGGAGCAUGGAGGCAGGAGGGCUGGGAAAAGUACCUGAAUAGGGAAAAGGAGGGAAGGAAUAAUACAAGUGCAGUGCUGGUUCCCCAGGGUCCUGACUGGACUGGGGCUUUGGGACAGAGACCAGAGCUAUUCCUGCAUAUUUCUCUCUAGGAUUAGAUGUGGCAAAUCCUACUUUUUUACAGCAUUAUAUGUUGCUUCCUGUUUUGGAGGAGAAGGAAGACACUCUGAUGGUAACAAAGCAAGCUAGAAAGUAAGGCACAUAUGGGGUCAAUUUCAAGGGCUGUGUGAGGACGAGCCUGGC
This 1132-nucleotide long non-coding RNA is filed under the name Strigops habroptila (Kakapo). RNAcentral's name for it is "lncRNA (ENSSHBG00005005251.1)". The record is from RNAcentral. Lineage: Eukaryota; Metazoa; Chordata; Aves; Psittaciformes; Psittacidae.